CAGGGCUUGACAUCCUCGGGACCUGCUUGAAAGAGCGGGGUGCCUUCGGGAGCCGAGAGACAGGUGCUGCAUGGCUGUCGUCAGCUCGUGUCGUGAGAUGUUGGGUUAAGUCCCGCAACGAGCGCAACCCUCGUGGUUAGUUAUGGUGAAUGUCUAGCCAGACUGCCGGGCACAACCCGGAGGAAGGGGGGGAUGAUGUCAAGUCAGCAUGGCCCUUACGCCCUGGGCGACACACACGCUACAAUGGCCGGGACAGCGGGCAGCCAAGCGGCAACGCGGAGCCAAUCCCUGAAAACCCGGUCUCAGUUCGGAUUGUGGGCUGCAACUCGCCCGCAUGAAGUCGGAGUUGCUAGUAACCGCCGGUCAGCCAUACGGCGGUGAAUAUGUUCCC
RNAcentral lists this ribosomal RNA (391 nucleotides) under uncultured bacterium. Its description in RNAcentral is "bacterial SSU rRNA". It matches the Rfam family "Bacterial small subunit ribosomal RNA", at positions 975 to 1375 of the family's 1533-position model. The record is from RNAcentral.